This 275-nucleotide ribosomal RNA is filed under the name uncultured bacterium. RNAcentral's name for it is "partial 16S ribosomal RNA". It matches the Rfam family "Bacterial small subunit ribosomal RNA", at positions 338 to 630 of the family's 1533-position model. The record is from RNAcentral.
CCUACGGGUGGCUGCAGUGGGGAAUCUUGCACAAUGGGGGAAACCCUGAUGCAGCGACGCCGCGUGAGUGAUGAAGCCCUUCGGGGUGUAAAGCUCUUUCAGCCGGAACGAUAAUGACGGUACCGGCAGAAGAAGCUGCGGCUAACUACGUGCCAGCAGCCGCGGUAAUACGUAGGCAGCGAGCGUUGUUCGGAGUUACUGGGCGUAAAGAGUGCGUAGGCGGUUGUCCAAGUCUGGUGUGAAAUCUCCCGGCUCAACUGGGAGGGUGCGCUAGA